CUCCUAGAAAAUAGAAAAUUGUCAUUGAUAAAGUUGGCAUAGGAUUUAAUACUUCAACCAAACAAAAGCUUCUAAAAAAUAUAUUUGUAAAGCCUACAUUUGAAAAGCAUGUUAUUACUUAUUUUAAAUGUAAUAAAGUUGGACAUAAAUCUACUAAUUGUAAUAUGUUUAGAUCUGAAAAUGUCAAAGUGAAAGCUUCUUUUGAAAAUGCUUCAACAACUUAUUUUAAAUGCAAUCAAAUUGGACAUAAAGCUUUUGAAUGUCAUUCAAAGAAGAUUGGAAAGGUUAUUAUUAAAUAAAUUUGAGUUUCAAAAGGAUCUAUUGUAACUAACCUUAAAGGACCCAAGAAGCCUGGAUACCUAAAAAGACUUACUCAUAUUUUGUAGGCAUGCCUAGCAUCUCAUGCAUCAAAGAGGAGAUAACUUUUGGUUAAUGGAUGCUUAGGGCAUAUGAUGAAAAAAAUGGUAAUAUUUGGUAAAGGCAAAAUCAUUGAAAUCGUUCCUUUUAUAUUGCAUUGGUAGGACAUAAAAUAGUUUGCUUAAAUAGAUGGAUUUUCAUGAAUUUGAUAUGAUACAUAUUGCCUUUGCUGAAACUCACCUUUCAAUUUCAUUUAUAUAAAAUUUCUAAAAUCUUUGAAAUAUGUAUCUCUUAGCCUUCUCAAUUGUAAAACUAAGUUAAGCUAAAAUAUAUAAGAAACAUGUGCUUGCCUAUCAUAUGGACUAAAAUAUGAAUGUUUUAGUUACUUAUGAAUGAAGUUGUGUAUGCUUAAAUGAUCAUAUUGUUACUUCUGUUUGUAAAUUAAUUUAUCCUUCUUGUGCUUCAAUGUUUUCACUAGUAUGAUUCCAUUAUUCUUUUUUGUAUCGUCAAAAAGGAAAGUAAGAAAUUAUGAAUUAUUUAUUCUAAGAUAUGUUUACUUGAAGAAGGGAGAAAGGGUUAAAAAUUUUUUUCCAAAUUCUCAAGAAUUUUUCAAAUAUAUAGCUUUUUCAUAUAAGAAAGGGAGAGUCUUCGAAAAUUCUUUUAAACUUUUAUUAUUGGUUAUUGAAAUUUACUAAGUCUUUUGAUUAGCACUUUUAUUGCAAACCAAAUAGAGAAUUAUAAAGUUCAUCUUCAAUCUUUUGGAAUAUCGAGUGAUUCAUUUGCUGUGAUUAUUCUUUUGCAUCAAUUGAAUAUAAGGGUAGC
Molecule: long non-coding RNA, 1179 nt
Filed under: Elaeis guineensis (African oil palm)
Lineage: Eukaryota; Viridiplantae; Streptophyta; Magnoliopsida; Arecales; Arecaceae
Description: long non-coding RNA (EGUI_LNC027979)
Source: RNAcentral